This 28-nucleotide small RNA is filed under the name Bombyx mori (domestic silkworm). RNAcentral describes it as "ovarian small RNA-30253". The record is from RNAcentral. Lineage: Eukaryota; Metazoa; Arthropoda; Insecta; Lepidoptera; Bombycidae.
UCUUUCAAAACUGCAGGACGGCCUUUAU